GUCGUAACAAGGUUUCCGUUGGUGAACCAGCGGAGGGAUCAUUACAGAGUUGCAAAACUCCCAAACCAUUGUGAACGUUACCUUUACCGUUGCUUCGGCGGGCGGCCCGGGUCCUGCCCGGCGCCCCUCGGCCCUCGCGGGCGCCCGCCGGAGGUAAACCAAACUAUUGCAUUGUAUGGCCUCUCUGAGUCUUCUGUACUGAAUAAGUCAAAACUUUCAACAACGGAUCUCUUGGUUCUGGCAUCGAUGAAGAACGCAGCGAAAUGCGAUAAGUAAUGUGAAUUGCAGAAUUCAGUGAAUCAUCGAAUCUUUGAACGCACAUUGCGCCCGCCAGUAUUCUGGCGGGCAUGCCUGUUCGAGCGUCAUUUCAACCAUCAAGCCCCCGGCUUGUGUUGGGGACCUGCGGCUGCCGCAGGCCCUGAAAACCAGUGGCGGGCUCGCUAGUCACUCCGAGCGUAGUAGUUUACAUCUCGCUCAGGGCGUGCUGCGGGUUCCGGCCGUUAAAAGCCUUAUUUUACCCAAGGUUGACCUCGGAUCAGGUAGGAAGACCCGCUGAACUUAAGCAUAUCAAUAAGCGGAGGA
This 582-nucleotide ribosomal RNA is filed under the name Chaetomiaceae sp. JCM 28524. RNAcentral's name for it is "eukaryotic LSU rRNA". The stretch from base 212 to 365 matches the Rfam family "5.8S ribosomal RNA". Lineage: Eukaryota; Fungi; Ascomycota; Sordariomycetes; Sordariales; Chaetomiaceae. The record is from RNAcentral.